GGCUUAUUUAGGAAUCAUCAGUUCUGAAAGGUCCCCUACUGGAAUAUGUUGUGUCACACAUACUUUAGGAAAGGGAGGUUUAUAAGGGAAGUUGGUUUCUUUGUGAACUGAUUGUCUCUUUCUUCCUCACUCUAGAGUCCUCCUCCUCCAAACCUGGAAAGAAAAUUCCAGCUGGAGCUGUUUCUGUAUUUUUAGGGGACACAGAUGUGUUUGGGGCCCCAACCUCUCCGGUGCUGAAGGAGCCCCAGAAGCUGGAGCAGCCCACUCUGGGGAAGAGCUCAUGUGUCCCGCCUACUAGUGGCCUCUUCGAUGACGAUGAUGAUGAUGACGAUGACUUUUUCACAGCAUCUAGCAGCAAACCUUCCAAGACAG
This is a non-coding RNA of Heterocephalus glaber (naked mole-rat), 372 nucleotides long. The record is from RefSeq and is a predicted model, not a curated record. NCBI's taxonomy places the organism in Eukaryota, Metazoa, Chordata, Mammalia, Rodentia, Bathyergidae.